Molecule: regulatory RNA element, 64 nt
Organism: Rothia mucilaginosa DY-18
Lineage: Bacteria; Bacillati; Actinomycetota; Actinomycetes; Micrococcales; Micrococcaceae
Rfam family: Rothia-sucC RNA
Source: Rfam
GAACCUCCUCUAAUGAGACCAGGCCGAGUGCACCAGUACUCGGCACCACUUCGAAGAAGAAGGA